UUUGCGGUACUCUGACCGUGCAAAGGUAGCAUAAUCAUUUGUCUUAUAAUUGAAGACUGGAAUGAAUGGUUUGACAAGAAUACUUCUGUCUCUUUAUAAUUUUAUAGAACUUAAUUUUUAGGUGAAGAAGCCUAAGUAAAAUUGAAAGACAAGAAGACCCUAUCGAGCUUUAAGUAAAUUAGUAACCUAAGAAUAAUAUGAGAUAGAGAUAUAAGUUACUAAAAAAUUUUGGUUGGGGCGACAAAGGAACAUAAAAAGCUUCCUUUAUUUAGUUGUAUAUUUUCAAAUCUGGAUCCAAAUUUUUGUUGAUUAGAGAAAAUAGUUACCGUAGGGAUAACAGCAUAAUCUUUUUUGAGAGCUCAUAUUGAAAAAAAGGUUUGUGACCUCGAUGUUGGAUCAGAAUACCCUAAAGAUGCAGAAGUCUUUAAUGGUUGGUCUGUUCGACCAUUAAAAUUCUACGUGAA
Molecule: ribosomal RNA, 464 nt
Filed under: Melo melo
Lineage: Eukaryota; Metazoa; Mollusca; Gastropoda; Neogastropoda; Volutidae
Description: partial 16S ribosomal RNA
Rfam family: Bacterial large subunit ribosomal RNA
Source: RNAcentral